Anneissia japonica is the source of this 1370-nucleotide long non-coding RNA. RefSeq lists it as uncharacterized. The record is from RefSeq and is a predicted model, not a curated record. NCBI's taxonomy places the organism in Eukaryota, Metazoa, Echinodermata, Crinoidea, Comatulida, Comatulidae. The transcript has 3 exons.
CCCUCGGAUGUCGUUCUAUCUCAUUCGGCACAUGUACGUGUUUGGGAAGUCAAGUCUUUGUGUACCCAUGCUAUAAUUGGUCUUGAUUGCUUUGAAGUUGGAAUAUCUGCACUUAGUUUUUCAAAUGAGAAUGAUGGCAAAUGGUUAUUAAUAGUGGACAAUAGUAAACACCACAUCAUAAGUGUUUGGGACUGGAACGAAGAUUUGUUGCUGGCUCAAAACGAGGUAAGAGACAAGAAGAACUGCGCCAAUCACGUACGGUAAUUUACCUAGAUAAUUGUAUUAUUAUGAAAAGUGGUGUCUACGCGGGGUUGGCGUAGUUAUGUUGGUGGCCGUGAUAACAUUUUUAUUCAUUGCUUUCUAAGCAACUUUCUUUGCGAACUUUUUUUUUUUCAGGAAUAUGAAAUAAUAAUUGCUAGAACAGACGAUGUUGAGGUAGAAUGAUUGCUGUGCCAUAGGUCUAUACUAGCAUGUUGCAUUAGUUUGAGCCAACUGAUGAAUAAUUGACUGAUGAGAGACUGACUGGCUAAUUAACUGACUAUGAUUAGCUGAGUGGUUUUUGACUAAUUGACUGACUAAUUGGCUGGCUGCGUGAAUGACUGAUUGUCUGAGUGACAGUGAGUGAGUGAGUGACUGACUUAUUGUCUAAUUGGCUGACUGGCUGGCUGAGCGAGUGAGUGAGUGAGUGAGUGACUGACUGACAAACUGUCUGGAUGACUAGUUGACCGAAUGACAAGUUGAAUGACUGACUGUCUAAGUAACUGACUGACUAAUUGACUAACUGAAUGACUGGAUGAGCGAAUGGUGCUGACUAGUUGAGUGACGAACUGACUAGAUGAGUGACUGCUGUCUGAGGGAGUGAGCGAGUGACUGGUUAAUUGCCUCACUGACUGGCUGCUGAGUGUGUGACUGACUGACUGACUAAGUUGACUGACCAAAUGGCUACUUGACUGACUGACAGACCGACCGACCGUGUAACUGACUGACUAGUUGAUUGGCAGAAUGACUAGUUGACUGACUGACCGUGUAACUGACUGACAAGUUGACUGACAGAAUGACUAGUUGACUGACUGACCGUGUACAGACAGACAAGAAUACUCACUCGUUCAUUAAUUGAUACUGAUUGACAUAAUACUGACUAACCGACUUCCAAAGAAAUUGGGUAGUGGUGACUUAUUAAUUGAUACGCCUGUAUUCAUUGACUGAUUGACUGUUUAAAACAUUGUAUUCUUCAGAAUAUUUCUUUCAUCAAAUGUGUAUGCUGUGAUAGAAAAAAAAGAUAAAUACAAAAGCAUUUCAUAGAAACAAUGUAGAGCACUUGCACUGACUUACUUAACCCUACUAACAUUAUAUAUAUAUACCGCCCUGUA